Molecule: ribosomal RNA, 786 nt
Filed under: uncultured bacterium
Lineage: Bacteria
Description: bacterial SSU rRNA
Rfam family: Bacterial small subunit ribosomal RNA
Source: RNAcentral
GCGAACUGGUGAGUAACACGUGGGAAACCUGCCCACAUGCGGGGGAUAACACCUGGAAACAGAUGCUAAUACCGCAUAACAACUUGGACCGCAUGGUCCGAGCUUGAAAGAUGGCUUCGGCUAUCACUUUUGGAUGGUCCCGCGGCGUAUUAGCUAGAUGGUGGGGUAAUGGCUCACCAUGGCAAUGAUACGUAGCCGACCUGAGAGGGUAAUCGGCCACAUUGGGACUGAGACACGGCCCAAACUCCUACGGGAGGCAGCAGUAGGGAAUCUUCCACAAUGGACGAAAGUCUGAUGGAGCAACGCCGCGUGAGUGAAGAAGGGUUUCGGCUCGUAAAACUCUGUUGUUAAAGAAGAACAUAUCUGAGAGUAACUGUUCAGGUAUUGACGGUAUUUAACCAGAAAGCCACGGCUAACUACGUGCCAGCAGCCGCGGUAAUACGUAGGUGGCAAGCGUUGUCCGGAUUUAUUGGGCGUAAAGCGAGCGCAGGCGGUUUUUUAAGUCUGAUGUGAAAGCCUUCGGCUCAACCGAAGAAGUGCAUCGGAAACUGGGAAACUUGAGUGCAGAAGAGGACAGUGGAACUCCAUGUGUAGCGGUGAAAUGCGUAGAUAUAUGGAAGAACACCAGUGGCGAAGGCGGCUGUCUGGUCUGUAACUGACGCUGAGGCUCGAAAGUAUGGGUAGCAAACAGGAUUAGAUACCCUGGUAGUCCAUACCGUANACGAUGAAUGCUAAGUGUUGGAGGGUUUCCGCCCUUCAGUGCUGCAGCUAACGCAUUAAGCAUUC